Molecule: ribosomal RNA, 397 nt
Filed under: uncultured bacterium
Lineage: Bacteria
Description: partial 16S ribosomal RNA
Rfam family: Bacterial small subunit ribosomal RNA
Source: RNAcentral
AUACGUAGGGGGCGAGCGUUGUCCGGAAUGAUUGGGCGUAAAGGGCGCGUAGGCGGCCCGGUAAGUCUGGAGUGAAAGUCCUGUUUUUAAGAUGGGAAUUGCUUUGGAUACUGUCGGGCUUGAGGGCAGGAGAGGUAAGUGGAAUUACCAGUGUAGCGGGGAAAUGCGUAGAGAUUGGGAGGAACACCAGUGGCGAAGGCGACUUACUGGACUGUAACUGACGCUGAGGCGCGAAAGUGUGGGGAGCAAACAGGAUUAGAUACCCUGGUAGUCCACACUGUAAACGAUGAAUGCUAGGUGUAGGGGGUAUCGACCCCUUCUGUGCCGCAGUCAACACAAUAAGCAUUCCGCCUGGGGAGUACGGCCGCAAGGUUGAAACUUAAAGGAAUUGACGGGG